RNAcentral lists this ribosomal RNA (206 nucleotides) under Dermanyssus gallinae. RNAcentral describes it as "partial 18S ribosomal RNA". The record is from RNAcentral. Lineage: Eukaryota; Metazoa; Arthropoda; Arachnida; Mesostigmata; Dermanyssidae.
UAGGUGAACCUGCGGAAGGAUCAUUAUUGAAUCAAAAUCCAUUCACUCACUCAGAGAGGAUGGUACCUGUAUGAUGUGCUAUCCCACGCUGUUGGGAGAGCCAUUGCAAUGUAAUGACAUGUAUUCUAAAUUUGUAUCGCGUACUCACUUUACUAAGUUAGUCGCGUGUCGCCAGCCAUCGGCUGGUUUGACAACAAUUUUACCAA